This 260-nucleotide ribosomal RNA is filed under the name uncultured bacterium. Its description in RNAcentral is "partial 16S ribosomal RNA". It matches the Rfam family "Bacterial small subunit ribosomal RNA", at positions 547 to 793 of the family's 1533-position model. The record is from RNAcentral.
AAUCGGGAAUUACUGGGCGUAAAGCGCAUGCAGGUGGUUUGUUAAGUCAGAUGUGAAAGACCCCGGGGCGUCAACCUCGGAAUAGCAUUUGUAAACUGGCAGACUAGAGUACUGUAGAGGGGGGUAGGAAUUUCAGGUGUAGCGGUGAAAUGCGUAGAGAUCUGAAGGAAUACCGGUGGCGAAGGCGGCCCCCUCGGACAGAUACUGACACUCAGAUCGCGAAAGCGUGGGGAGCAAACAGGAUUAGAUACCCCUGGUAG